This is a non-coding RNA of Meleagris gallopavo (turkey), 169 nucleotides long. The record is from RefSeq and is a predicted model, not a curated record. Lineage: Eukaryota; Metazoa; Chordata; Aves; Galliformes; Phasianidae.
ACGUCGGAUACGGAGAGAUGAGAGCCCUGGUGGGGAAGGGUGUAAACGUGCCCCUGCAGAAAAGCCUGAGGACAUGGAGUUCCAGGUGCCUUCCAGUGACAGCGAGGGUCUGACCUACAUGGAGCUGCAAGCUGUGACCCCCAGCACUCAGCCCCUCAACCCCUCCGCU